Molecule: ribosomal RNA, 389 nt
Filed under: Dicentrarchus labrax (European seabass)
Lineage: Eukaryota; Metazoa; Chordata; Actinopteri; Moronidae
Description: partial 16S ribosomal RNA
Rfam family: Bacterial large subunit ribosomal RNA
Source: RNAcentral
CAAUCACUUGUCUUUUAAAUGGAGACCUGUAUGAAUGGCAUCACGAGGGCUUGACUGUCUCCUUUCCCUGGUCAAUGAAAUUGAUCUCCCCGUGCAGAAGCGGGGAUACGCACAUAAGACGAGAAGACCCUAUGAAGCUUUAGACACAAGGGAGACUACCUUAAUUACCCCUGGAUAAAGGGCAAAAGCUAAAGGUACCCCUCCCCAGCGUCUUUGGUUGGGGCGACCGCGGGGUAAAACAAAACCCCCAUGUGGAAUAGGAGCACCCCUCCUUCAACCAAGAGCUCCCGCUCUAAGGAACAGAACUUUUGACCAAUCAAUGAUCCGGCAUCGCCGAUCAACGAACCGAGUUACCCUAGGGAUAACAGNGCAAUCCCCUUUUAGAGCCC